Molecule: long non-coding RNA, 14627 nt
Filed under: Lactuca sativa (garden lettuce)
Lineage: Eukaryota; Viridiplantae; Streptophyta; Magnoliopsida; Asterales; Asteraceae
Description: long non-coding RNA (LSAT_LNC008992)
Source: RNAcentral
AAACUUGGUUAUCAUACAUGGAUUGGAUCUCGCUAUCCAUUGCCUCUUUCCAUUUUGCAGACUCCGGGCCUGCCAUGGCUUCCUUAUAGCUAUUAGGUUCAUCAAGAUUUAUUAGUGUACCAUCACUAAUAUACGUGUCCCCUUCGGUAGUAAUAUGAAAACCAUAAAACUGGGGUUGAACUCUAACUCUAUCGGAACGUCUAAGAGGUAAGGAUUCGUCAAUCGGUUCAACCGGAGUUUCCUCCUCGGGUUGAGUGCCAGCGGUAGAGGUUCCUUCAUCUAUCGACUCUUGAAUCUCUUCAAGCUCGAUUUGCCUCCCACUGUCUCCUUGGCUUAUGAGUUCUCGCUCUCGGAAAACUCCUCUCCUCGCAACGAAGACAACAUUGUCCUUCGGUCUAUAGAAGAGAUAUCCAAAGGAUGUCUGCGGGUAGCCGAUGAAAAUACAUCGCUCACUUCGAGGUUCAAGCUUGUCGUGAGUAUCUCGUCUUACGAAAGCCUCGCAACCCCAAACCUUGAUAUGUGCCAACGAGGGAGCUUUCCCUGUCCACAUCUCGUGAGGUGUUUUGGCAACCUUCUUAGUAGGGACUCGGUUAAGGAUAUGGGCGGCAGUCUCUAAGGCAUACCCCCAAAAAGAGAUAGGUAGUGAAGCACGACUCAUCAUAGAGCGAACCAUAUCCAAUAAGGUUCGAUUACGCCUUUCUGCCACACCAUUCAACUGCGGUGUCCUAGGAGGCGUCAAUUGCGAAACUAUUCCACACUCCUUGAGAUAAUCGUGGAAUUCAAGACUUAGGUACUCUCCUCCUCGAUCGGAUCGAAGCAUCUUGAUUUUCCUGCCCAAUUGAUUCUCCACUUCAUUCUUGAACUCUUUGAACUUUUCAAAGGUUUCUGACUUUUGCUUGAUUAAGUAGAUAUACCCAUAUCUACUAUAGUCAUCGGUAAAAGUCACAUAGAAGCGGUUCCCAUCCUUCGUGGUUGAUCUAAACGGUCCACAUACAUCGGUAUGUAUUAGGUCCAAUAGACCCUCGCCCCUUUCACAUGUACUCGUGAAGGGUGACUUAGUCAUCUUUCCAAGCAAACAAGACUCGCAUGUGUCAUCUUCCCUAAGGUCGAAUGACUCCAACACUCCAUCCUUUUGGAGUUGGGCUAUGCGUUUCUUGUUGACAUGUCCAAGACGACAAUGCCACAAGGAUGCUUUAUCCAUACUAGUGGAAGAAUCAAUAUUCAAAACAUCAUUUCCUAAGUUAUCAACAAUCAUAACGGUUUCAUAUAUUCCAUUACAUGGUAUAGCUUCAAAGUAAAAGACACCAUUUAGAUAAGCCAAAAUAGAACCAUUCUCAUUAUUAAAAGAAAAUCUAAAUCCUUGUCUAUAUAAACCAUGAAAUGAAAUGAUGUUUCUUGCCAUUUCUGGCGAAUAGCAACAAUUGUUCAAAUCUAAAACUAAACUAUUCCUAAGCACUAAGGAAUACACUCCAAUCUUGGUCACAGGCGACGAUCUUCUGUUCCCCAUGAUUAGAUUGAUCCUUCCUUGCUCCACAUCCCUACUUCUUCUUAGUCCCUGCACAUUAGAACAAAUGUGAUAACCACAACCGGUAUCAAGAACCCAAGAAAUAGCAUGAUUAGAAUCGUUAGAUUUGAUUGUAUAUAUACCUGCGAAAGAUGGCUUGAUCUUUCCUUCUUUGAUUGCUUGCAGGUAAUCCGGGCAGCUUCUCUUCCAAUGUCCUAUCUUGUGGCAGUGGUGGCACUCUGCCUCCUUCGGGUUAGAGCAGGGCUUGGCGGGAUCAACUUUGGUCCCACUAGAAGAGGCACCAUCUCGGGCUUUCACCUUGCGAUAGUUCUUCGAUGAAGCUUUCCUCUUCUUUCCCUUCCCUUGUCCAAUAGCCAAGACAGGAGCAGCGGGCGGAUUGGGAGUAGGUGCAACAGACUUGUCUUUGAAGUUGCUCUCAGCAACCCUCAAGAGACCUUGGAGCUUGCUUAGGGUGACCUCUUCUUUGUUCAUGUGGUAGGUCAUCCUAAAUUGGUUGUACAUCGGAGGCAAAGAGUGAAGCACCAUGUCGAUCGCCAAGUCUUCACCGAAGUCAACAUUUAACUUGCGGAGGCGGUCAACAUACCUUUGCAUCUUUUGCAAGUGCACGGUAAGAGAUUCUCCAUGACCCAUCUUCGCGGAAAUCAUGUUAGUGAAAAUCUCGUACCUCUCUUGUCUCGCGUUUUGGUGGUACCUCUCCAAUAAGUCUUGAUGCAUCUCGUACGGGUACAUGUCCUCGUAGGACUUUUGGAAUUCGGAGUUCAUGGUGGCGAUCAUGAUGCAAUGUACCUUCGUUGCAUCUCGCUCAUGAGUUUCAAAGGCGGUGAUUUCGGCGGGAGUAGCAAUUUCGGGGUUGAUUUUCUCGAGCUUCUCAUCGAGGACAUACUCCUUAUCCUCAUAGCGAGCAAUGGUGCGAAUGUAUCUUAUCCAUUCGCUAAAGUUCGUUCCAUCGAAGGUGACCUUUUGGCAAAGGCUCAUCAACGUGAAAGAACUAGCAGCAGCGUUGUUUGCGUUCGACAUCUACAAUUAGAAAAGGACAAAGAUAGAUUAGAAUAAGAAUCCCUAAUUAUCACCCAAUAAGAAAAUUAGGGCUAGGAUCCAACAAUAACAUUUACAUACUAGAAAAGGGAUGCCGUAAUCUAACAUGCAAAUAAAUUGAAGGUAAGUGAAUGACGAUUCACUAAUUCUCCAUCACAAAACUUAAACUAUUAGUCCUAAGUGUUUUUGAGAAUUCCUAGGUUCGGAUGAGAUUCAUUGAAACUAUUCAAUGGCAUGUUUAAAUCUCGAUAUGCCCCUCUUGUUUGUGACUGGGAUGCCGAGGAUCACAAAGCGGGUGUGAAUUACCAUGCAAAUUCACAUGGUGCCUUCAUUGUAACAAUCACCUAUUCGAUGUGCCGGUAAACCACACACGCUCCAUCGAACUAUGAUAAACAAUGAAUCACCCUUUGCCACCUUCGCUUAGAACCAAUUAGUGUGCCGGUAAACCACACACGCUCCACUAACAUCUUAGCAAGGUGCAAAGUGUAAUUUCAUGGGAUUGCAUCAAUUCACUUUUCCUAAAGUAACUAGGAUUGGGAAAUUUUAAAAAAAUGUGUAGUUACUUUAUAUUUCUUAUUAUACUUUUAAUGAGAGGAUGAGGUUGCCCUAUCCUACCCGUUCGGCUAACGACCCUCCACCAAUCAAGCAAGCGGUGGGUGUGAGUGUACACCCAUUAAGCGCCAUUUUAUAGGCCGCAACCUUAUACCCACCUUAUAGAUCGGCUUCGUGAAUGAGGCCUACUAACGGUAAGACUAGCAUUUAGUUAUACAUAUAUAUAUUAUUCUAGUAAUAUCAUAUUAGUAUAGGGUUGUAUUUUAAAACUUUUAAAAUCUAGGGUUUGAAAUUUAAGUUGUCUAAAUUAAAACUUUUAAUCACAAAAGUAAAUUUCAAAACAUGAGGGUAGGUUUUAAACAUUUAAAACAUGGAGGAUCAAAUAACAAAUAAUUCCAAUUAACAAUUAAUAUCCUAAUUAUCUAUAUUUGAUUUAUUCAAGAUUUCUUUUAAAGAUAAUUACCAAAAUAAUCAAAAUAAUUAAUUAAUUAUCAUAUAAGGAAAUUAAAUAUUUAAUUAGUUGAUAAUUACCUUUAACUAGAUCAAGAUAAUAGUUAUAUUUAUCAGAAAAACGAAUUAAUGUUGAUCUAAUUAGUUUAUGGUAAGUUAAGAUAAGAUAAACACAAAGAAAUCCCGAAUCUGGCCAUUCCUGACGCCUGGACUCGCCGAGUGCACAAAUGGACUCGCCGAGUCAGGCCUACUCGCCGAGUCCACUUUGAGACUCGCCGAGUCCAUGACUCAGAAACCAAAAAUUCGAAUUUUGCAGGUUUGUUUCAGUUAAUCAAGCAACAAUUUACAGAAAACCAAGCUAGGCUCUGAUACCACUGAUGGGUUUUAGCCAUAAGAACUUUCCUAUGUGCGCAUGCAAAACCCUAAUGCUUGGAUCUAGGCUUUCUAAUAAACAUGCUUUGAAUCCAAGACUUCUAAUUACUAAUUAGGUUAAACAAGAACAUUAAAACAGAUCUAGAAUCAUACCUUUGAGUUCCUUGUUGAUCUUGAGGUCUUGGAGCUUCUAGAGUCACAAAUGUCACUCCUCUAAUGGCUUACAAACACCAAAGCAAGGAGGAUGAUUUGGGAGAGAGGAGAGGGGAGGAAUUUCGACCAGAGGUUCCUUACUUUAGGUCAAGUGUCGAAUUCCAUCAGCCAUGGGGUCUAUUUAUACUUGUAGACUCCUUAAGGAUUACAGAUAAGUCCCUAUCAGAUAAUCUUCUCUUAAGGCUAUCCAAAUCCAUUCCUAGAUAACUCUAAUGGACGAUUUUAGCUAUCCUAAUCCUCUUAGAAUUCGUCCAUAGUAUAUCCAAAUGGAUUUACAGUUUAAAGCUUAACUAUCAAACAAUUGACAGUUUAUACCCCUUUAUUUAAUUAAUCUCUUUAAGUCACCAAAUUAAUUCUAAUUAAUUCUAUGACUUAUAUUAAUCAAAUAACAAAUAUAUUAUUCAUUAUAUUAUUCCCAUAAUAUAUUAAUAAUAUUUAUUCUCUCUUAAUAAAUCAUCCUAUCAAGUUGCUAUGGUGAAGGCAACCCAAAAGGACCAUGCACAACCGGAUAUAGUUACAGCCUUAGACACUAUUCCAACAGUCUCCCACUUGGAUAAGUCUAGUAACUAUACAAGUACAAUUCGGUUUGCAAUCGUAGCUCUCAAAGACGCUGUCAACUCUGAUCUAAUCAAUCUUGUCCUUUAGAUAAGGGAACGUACAGUCCUCUGUUAGAUAUCAUGCUGACAAUCCUAUGGAAUGGUUAGUCAAGCAUUUAGGUUUCUCGAUCUCUGAUUUAUUUGACAUAGAACUUAAUCGAACACAUCAAUUCAGUUCUGACCGGGCCCGGCACAUAAGUCAAAUCAAAUCAUCGAGCGGCCGAGAUAUCGCUUUUACCUUCUUAGAUAAAAGUUACAGAUAAACUUCGACUUAUAUGCAUUUACUUAUUCAUUAACCAACUAUACACAACAAUACGUUUUAUAACACCAAGUUACUGAUGCGUUUUCGUAUUAUCAAUGUACAAUCAAUUAACAAAUAAUAAACCAUAUAUCUAGGUUUUAAGACUAUAUGAUAUUAUCGUCUUGCGAUCACCUUUUAUAUCGUAUUCCAUAAGGUGAUUCCAGCAAGCGCGGGUUUAUUCCAAUGCUCAAAACUAGUUCAUAAGCACUCAUGAACGUUGCAGCAAUCCUUUGCUAUGUCUAACACCAUUUAGACAUUCUACACACCAAUUCAUGACAAUCUUCUUUCAUAUCUACUCCCAACAUAUGAACGAUUGUGGACCAUUUGAAUAAUUCGAUUAUUCCUAAUAAACUCAAUUAUUCUGGAAGUCAAAACAUGCAAAGUGAAACAAUAGCUAAACAAUUAACAUAAGAUAGUAACAUUACUCAUAAAUAAAACUCCUUUAUUUAAUCAUCAAAUGUCAAUUACAUUUAUCUAUUACACGUUUCUAAUACUAUCUAAUCUAUGCUAAUAUCAUCCUUCAGCCCAAUACUCCUAGCAUGCUGCAAGUGCUUAACCCUACUCAGUCCCUUCGUAAGCGGAUCUGCUGGGUUAUCUUCUGAUGAUAUCCUCUUCACUACGAGUUGUCCUUCUUCUACACGAUGUCUAAUGAAGUGAUACUUUCUGUCGAUAUGUCUUGAUCUACCAUGAUCCCUCGGUUCCUUGGUUAAGGCAACCGCACCUUCGUUAUCACAGAAAAUCUCCAUUGGCUCCUUUAUGGCAGGUACGACUCCAAGAUCACCGAUGAAGUUCUUUAGCCAUAUUGCCUCCUUCGACGCUUCGCUCGCUGCAAUGUACUCUGAUUCGCACGUUGAAUCAGCUACGGUUUCCUGCUUGGAACUCUUCCAUGUCACUGCUCCUCCAUUUAGGGUAAAGACCCAGCCCGACUGCGAACGGUAGUUGUCCCUGUCGGUCUGAAAACUGGCGUCACUAUACCCUCGCACCUUCAAGUCAUCACUCCCUCCGAGGACUAAGAACCAUUCCUUCGUCCUCCGAAGGUACUUAAGGAUAUUCUUCACCGCAAUCCAAUGUGCUUUGCCAGGAUUCCCUUGAUAUCUGCUAACCAUGCUCAAAGCGAAGGCUACAUCAGGGCGAGUACAAGUCAUAGCGUACAUGAUUGAGCCAACUGCGGAAGCGUAUGGUACUCGGCUCAUUUCUGCUAUCUCAGCUUCGGUACUCGGACUUUGAGUCUUACUCAAUUUGGCAUUACUUUGUAUCGGUAGUUCUCCCUUCUUUGAGUUUUCCAUACUAAAACGUUUUAGUACCUUCUCUAAGUAAGUAUUCUGACUAAGUCCAAUUAGUCUCUUACUUCUUUCUCUUACUAUCCUUAUUCCCAAAAUGUAAGAAGCCUCUCCGAGGUCCUUCAUAGCGAAGCACUUCCCGAGCCAGGACUUAACCUCCUGCAGAGUCGGGAUGUCGUUUCCUAUGAGUAAUAUGUCAUCGACAUAUAGAACGAGGAAGCUUACUAUACUCCCACUGGCUUUGACAUAUACACAAGAUUCGUCUUCGCUUCGUACAAAUCCAAACUCUUUGACUUUCUCAUCGAAGCAAAGAUUCCAUCUGCGAGACGCUUGCUUAAGUCCAUAAAUGGACUUCUCAAGCUUACACACUCUAUUCGGAUGCUUCGGAUCCACAAACCCCUCUGGCUGAGCCAUGUAAACAUCCUCAGCCAACUUUCCGUUAAGGAAAGCGGUCUUGACAUCCAUUUGCCAAAUCUCAUAAUCAUGAAAUGCGGCAAUUGCUAGCAUCACUCUAAUAGAUUUAAUCUUCGCAACUGGUGAGAAGGUCUCAUCAUAGUCAACUCCGGGAGUUUGAGUAAAGCCCUUCGCAACCAAUCGCGCUUUAUAUGUGUGUACGUUUCCAUCCACGUCGGUCUUCUUCUUGAAGAUCCAUUUGCACCCAACGGUCUUACGUCCGGGCACAUUAUCAACCAAAUUCCAAACUUGGUUGUCAUACAUGGACUGGAUCUCGUUGUCCAUUGCCUCUUUGCAUUUUGCAGACUCCGAGCCUGCCAUGGGUUCCUUAUAGCUAUUAGGUUCAUCUUGGUUUAUUAGUGUACCAUCACUAAUAUAUGUGUCCCCUUCGGUAGGAAUAUGAAAACCAUAAAACUGGGGUUGAACUCUAGCACUUUAGGAACGUCUAAGAGGUAAGGACUCGUCAAUCGGUUCAACCGGAGUUUCCUCCUCCGGUUGAGUGCCAGCGGUAGAGGUUCCAUCAUCAAUCGACUGUUGAAUCUCUUCAAGCUCGAUUUUCCUCCCACUGUCUCCUUGGAUUAUGAGUUCUCGCUCUCGGAAAACUCCUCUCCUUGCAACAAAGACAACAUUGUCCUUCGGUCUAUAGAAGAGAUAUCCAAAGGAUUUCUGCGGGUAGCCGAUGAAAAUACAUCGCUCACUACGAGGUUCGCGCUUGUCGUGAGUAUCUCGUCUUACGAAAGCCUCGCAACCCCAAACCUUGAUAUGUGCUAACGAGGGUGCCUUCCCUGUCCACAUUUCGUGAGGUGCUUUGGCAACCUUCUUAGUAGGGACUCGGUUAAGGAUAUGGGCGGCAGUCUCUAAGGCAUACCCCCAGAAUGAGAUAGGUAGUGAAGCACGACUCAUCAUAGAAUGAACCAUGUACAAGAAGGUUCGAUUACGCCUUUCUGCCACACCAUUCAACUGCGGUGUCCUAGGAGGCGUCAAUUGUGAAACUAUUCCACACUCCUUGAGAUAAUCGUGGAAUUCAAGACUUAGGUACUCUCCUCCUCGAUCGGAUCGAAGCAUCUUGAUUUUCCUGCCCAAUUGAUUCUCCACUUCAUUCUUGAACUCUUUGAACUUUUCAAAGGUGUCUGACUUUUGCUUGAUUAAAUAGAUAUACCCAUAUCUACUAUAAUCAUCGGUAAAAGUCACGUAGAAGCGGUUCCCAUCCUUCGUGGUUGAUCUAAACGGUCCACAUACAUCGGUAUGUAUUAGGUCCAAUAGACCCUCACCCCUUUCACACGUACUCGUGAAGGGUGACUUAGUCAUCUUUCCAAGUAAACAAGACUCGCAUGUGUCAUCUUCCCUAAGGUCGAAUGACUCCAACACUCCAUCCUUUUGGAGUUGGGCUAUGCGUUUCUUGUUGACAUGUCCAAGACGACAAUGCCACAAGGAUGCUUUAUCCAUACUAGUGGAAGAAUCUAUGUUCAAAACAUCAUUUCCUAAGUUAUCAACAAUCAUAACAGUUUCAUAAAUUCCAUUACAUGGUAUAGCUUCAAAGUAAAAGACACCAUUUAGAUAAGCCAAAAUAGAACCAUUCUCAUUAUUAAAAGAAAAUCUAAAACCUUGUCUAUAUAAACCAUGAAAUGAAAUGAUGUUUCUAGCCAUUUCUGGCGAAUAGCAACAAUUGUUCAAAUCUAAACAUAAAUUAUUCCUAAGCACUAAAGAAUACACUCCAAUCUUGGUCACAGGCGACGAUCUUCUGUUCCCCAUGAUUAGAUUGAUUCUUCCUUGCUCCACAUCCCUACUUCUUCUUAGUCCCUGCACAUUAGAACAAAUGUGGUAACCACAACCGGUAUCAAGAACCCAAGAAAUAGCAUGAUUAGAAUCGUUAGAUUUAAUUGUAUAUAUACCUGCGAAAGAUGGCUUGAUCUUUCCUUCCUUGAUAGCUUGCAGGUAUUCUGGGCAGCUUCUCUUCCAAUAUCCUAUUUUGUGGUAAUGGUGGCACUCUGCCUUCUUUGGGUUAGGACAGGGUUUAGCAGGAUCAACUUUGGUCCCACUAGAAGAGGCACCAUCUCGGGACUUAACUUUGCGAUGGUUCUUAGACGAAGCCUUCCUCUUCUUUCGUCUUCCUUGCCCAAUGGCCGAAACAGGAGUAGCGGGUGGUUUGGGAAUUGGUGCAACAGACUUGUCCUUGAGGUUGCUCUCAGCAACCCUUAGGAGACCUUGGAGUUUGCUUAGGGUGACCUCUUCCUUGUUCAUGUGGUAGGUCAUCCUAAAUUGGUUGUAACACGAAGGCAAGGAGUGAAGCCCCAUGUCGAUUGCCAAGUCUUCCCCAAAGUCAACAUUCAACUUGCGAAGACGAUCGACAUACCUUUGCAUCUUUUGCAGGUGCACGGUUAAAGAUUCUGCAUGACCCAUCAUAGCGGAGAUAAUGUUAGUGAAGAUCUCAUAACGUUCCUGCCUCGCGUUUUGAUGGUAUCUCUCCAAUAAGUCUUGGUGCAUUUCGUACGGAUACAUGUACUCAUAGGACUUUUGGAAUUCGGAGUUCAUUAUGGCUAUCAUGAUGCAAUGAACCUUCGUUGCAUCACGUUCAUGAGUCUCAAAAGCAGUCAUUUCAGCCGGAGUAGCGAUUUCUGGGUUGAUCUUCUCGAGCUUCUCAUCGAGGACAUACUCCUUGUCCUCGUAGCGAGCAAUGGUGCGAAUGUAUCUUAUCCAUUCGCUAAAGUUCGUCCCAUCGAAAGUCACCUUUUGGCAAAGGCUCAUCAAUGUGAAUGAACUCGCAGCAACGUUGUUUGUGUUCGACAUCUACAAAUAGAAAGGACAAAGAUAGAAAAUGGAUCCAACAACAUUAUUUACAUGUUAGAAAAUGGAUGCCGUAAUCCAACAUGCAAACAAUUUGAAGGUAAGUGAAUGACGAUUCACUAAUUCUCCACCACGAAAACAUAACAUUAAGUUCUAAAUGUAUUGAGAAUUCCUAGGUUUCGAUGAGAUUCAUUGAACUUUUCAAUGGCAUGUUUAAAUCUCGAUAUGCCCCUCUCAUUUGUGACUGGGAUACCGAGGAUCACAAAGUGGGUGUGAAUAACCAUGCAAAUAUACAUGGUGCCUUCAUUGUAACAAUUACCUAUUCGAUGUGCCGGUAAACCACACACGAUCCAUCGAACUAUGAUAAACAAUGAAUCACCCUUUACCACCUUUACUUAGAACCAAUUAGUGUGCCGGUAAACCACGCACGCUCCACUAACUUCUUAGCAAGGGUGCAAAGUGUAAUUUCAUGGGAUUGCAUCAAUUCACUUUUCCUAAAGUAACUAGGAUUGGGAAUUUUGAAAAACAUGUAGUUACUUUGUAUUCUUAUAUUAUACUUUUAAUGAGAAGAUGAGGUUGCCCUAUCCUACCCGUUCGGCUAACGACCCUCCACCAGUCAAGCAAGCGGUGGGUGUGAGUGUACACCCAUUAUGCGCCAUUUUAUAGGCAGCAACCUUAUACCCACCUUAUAGACUAGCUUCGUGAAUGAGGCCUACUAACGGUAAGACUAGCAUUUUAAAUAUACAUAUAUAUUUAUUAAGCUUGUAAUAAUAUAAUAGUAUAGGGUAUAUUUUAAACAUUUCAAAAUACUAGGGUUUUAAUUAAAAUUUUUCAAAAUUUAAUGCCAUUUAAAUUAAAAAUUUUAAAUAUUAAAACUCUUGAUUUAAUAAUUAUCUUAAAUUAAACUAUUAAUUUCAAAUUAUCAAAUCAUAAGGGAUUAUCUAAAUCAUAUGGAUAAUUACCAUUUAAACAUUUAAGUUAUCCUAAUCCCAUAAAUCCCUCUAUAAAUUUCGAAAAUAGGGAUGGGAUAAUUCAUGAUCUUUAAUUACCAUAUUUAACUAUUAAAGGAUAAUUACAAGAUAUGAGAUUAUCCAAAUCCCUAAAAUUUAGGAUCUUAUCUUGGGGAAGGAGGCAAAUCUCGAAAUCUAAGGGUUUGCAAACCCUAGAUUUCGAAAUCUUGGAUUAAAGGAAAGGAUUCAAAAAACCUUUUUACAAUUUUUGCAAAUUAGGGUUAGGAAACCCUAAUCUCGAAAUUUCCAUGCCUCGUAGGGUUUAACACAAGAAUAAAACCCUAAAGUAAAAUGCUAUUUUUGAAAUUAAUAUACAAGGUUAGAUUACAUACCUCUUGUUGUUAUAUUGCAAUAAAAACUUAAAUCUUCAAACCCUUAGUCUUGAAAGCAAGCACCACAAAUGUAGUGCCUCUAAUGGCUCACAAACACCACAAGCAAUUGAAGAGGCUUUAGAGAGAGAACGGAAGAGGUGGGAAUUCGUCCUUAGGACCUCUUAGGAGCAUGUACACGAAUUCUCAAGGCCUAGGGGUCUUUAUAUAGGGUUUAGAUUAGGGUUUCAAUCCUUAUCCUUAUCUAGUUGCUUGCCCAUCAAGCAACAACAAGGUAAGCCUUGAAAAACCCUUAUCUCUUGGACCUUGGACGAUUUUAAGGAUAUCCUUAUCCUUGAAUUCGUCCAUCCUUUAACAUGGAUAAUUAUUGCCCUAUCUUGCAACUAUCUCAUAAUUACAAUUCAGCCCCUCUAGUUUAAUUAAUUACACUUGAUCACAAAAUUAAUUCCUAAUUAAUUAUUGACCAAUAUUAAUUAAACAAAUAUGAUUUUUCCUUGAAUAUAUUAUUCUUAUAACAUAUUAAUAAAUCAUAAUAACCUCUCUCUCUAUUUAAUUUCUCCAAUCAAGUUGCCUUGGUGAAGGCAACCCAAAAGGACCAUGCACAACUGGGCCAAGUACUUACCAAAUAUGCUUACGGGCUUAGACACUAAUCCAAUAGUCUCCCACUUGGAUAAGUCUAGUAACCACAAAUGCAACGUACAAAUCGAUUGGUAAUCGUAGCUCUCAAAGACGCUGUCAAACUCUAAUCUUAUUAGUAACCUGUCAUUUAGAUAAGGGAUCGUACAGUCCUCUGUUAAGAUAUUAUGCAGACAAUCUCAUGGAACUAGAUGUCCAGCAGUUGGUUUCUCGAUCUCAGAUUUAUUCGACAUAGAACUUAAUCGAACACAUCAAUUUAGUUCUGACCGGGCCCAGCACAUAAGUCAAAUCAAAUCAUCGAGCGGCUGUGAUAUCGCUUUUAUCCUCUUAGGAUAAAAGUAACAGAUAAACUUCGACUUAUAUGCAUUUACUUAUCCACUAAUCAACUAUACACAACAAUGCGUUUUAUAACAUCAAUUUACUGAUGCGGUUUUGCAUUAUCAAUGCACAAUCAAUUAGUAAAUAAUAAACCAUAUAUCUAGGUUUUAAGACCAUAUGAUAUUAUCGUCUUGAGAUCACCCUUUUUAUUACAUUCCAUAAGGUGAUCCCAGCAAACGUGGGUUUAUUCCAAUGCUCAAAACUUGUUCAUAAGCACUCAUGAACGUUGCAUCAAACCUUUGACAUGUCUAACACCUUUUAGACACUCUACAUACCAAUUCAUGACAAUCUUCAUUCAUAGCUACUUCCAACAUAUGAACGAUUGUGGACCAUUCGAAUAAUUCGAUUAUUCUUAAUAACUUAAUUAUUCAGGAAUUCAAAACAUGCAAAUUGAAACAAUAGUUAAACAAUUAACACAAGACAGUAACUUUACUUAUAAAUAAUACUCCUUUAUUUAAUCAUCAGAUGUCAAUUACAUUUAUCUAUUAUAUGUUUCUAAAACUAUCUAAUUUAAACUAGUAUCAUCCUUCAGCCCAAUGCUCCUAGCGUGCUGCAAGUGCUUAACCCUACUCAGUCCCUUCGUAUGUGGAUCUGCAGGGUUACUUAUGAUGAUAUCCUCUUAACCACGAGGUGUCCUUCUUCUAGUCAAUGUCUAAUAAAGUGAUACUUUCUGUCGAUAUGCCGAGAUCUACCAUGAUCCCUCGGCUCCUUGGUCAAGGCAACCGCUCCUUCAUUGUCACCGAAAAUUUCCAUAGGCUCCUUUAUGGUAGGCACAACUCCAAGGUGACCAAUGAAGUUCUUCAACCAUAUCGCCUCCUUUGACGCUUCGCUCGCUGCAAUGUACUCUGAUUCGCACGUUGAAUCGGCUACAGUUUCCUGCUUGGAACUUUUCCAAGUUACUGCUCCUCUAUUCAGGGUAAAGACCCAGCCCGACUGCGAACGGUAGUUAUCCUUGUCGAUCUGAAAACUGGCGUCACUAUACCCUCGCACCUUCAAGUCAUCACUCCCUCCGAGGACUAAAAACCAUUCUUUGGUCCUCCGAAGGUACUUAAGGACAUUCUUGACCGCAAUCGAAUGGGCUCUGCCAAGAUUCCCUUGAUAUCUACUAACCACGCUCAAAGCAAAGGCUACAUCAGGGCGAGUACAAGUCAUAGCAUACAAGAUUGAGCCAACUGCUGAAGCGUAUGGAAGUCGGCUCAUUUCUGCUAUCUCAGCUUCAGUACUCGGACUUUGAGUCUUACUCAACUUGGCAUUACUUUGUAUCGGGAAUUCUCCCUUCUUCGAAUUUUCCAUACUAAAAUGUUUUAGUACUUUAUCUAAGUAAGUGUUCUGACUAAGUCCUAUUAGUCUCUUACUUCGUUCGCUCACUAUCCUUAUUCCCAAAAUAUAGGAAGCCUCUCCGAGGUCCUUCAUAGCGAAGCACUUCCCGAGCCAGGACUUAACCUCCUGCAGAGUCGGGACGUCGUUUCCUAUGAGUAGUAUGUCAUCGACAUACAAAACAAGGAAGCUACCUAUACUCCCACUGGCUUUGACAUAUACACAUGAUUCAUCUUCACUUCCUACAAAUCCAUACUCUUUGACUUUCUCAUCGAAACAAAGAUUCCAUCUGCGAGACGCUUGCUUAAGCCCAUAAAUGGACUUCUCAAGCUUGCUCACUCUAUUCGGAUGCUUCGAAUCGACAAAACCCUCUAGCUGAGCCAUGUAAACAUCCUCAACCAACUUCCCAUUAAGAAAAGCGGUCUUGACAUCCAUCUGCCAUAUUUCAUAAUCAGGAAAUGCAGCAAUGGCUAGCAUCACCCUAAUAGACUUUAUUUUAGCAACUGGUGAGAAGGUCUCAACAUAAUCAACUCCGGGAGUUUGAGUAAAGCCCUUCGCAACCAAUCGCGCCUAAUAUGUGUGUACAUUUCCAUCCACGUCGGUCUUCUUCUUGAAGAUCCAUUUGCACCCAACGGUCUUACAUCCGGGCACAUUAUCAACCAAAUUCCAAACUUGGUUGUCAUACAUGGACUGGAUCUCGCUGUCCACUGCCUCUUUCCAUUUUGCAGACUUCGGGCCUGCCAUGGCUUCCUUAUAGCUAUUAGGUUCAUCUAGAUUUAUUAGUGUACCAUCACUAAUAUACUCUCCCCUUCGGUAGUAAUAUGAAAACCAUAAAACUGGGGUUGAACUCUAGCUCUUUCGGAACGUCUAAGAGGUAAGGACCCGUCAAUCGGUUCAACCGGAGUUUCCUCCUCGGGUUGAGUGCCAGCGGUAGAGGUUCCUUCAUCAAUCGACUCUUGAAUCUCUUCAAUAUCAAUUUGCCUCCCACUGUCUCCUUGGCUUAUGAGUUCUCGCUCUCGGAAUACUCCUCUCCUUACAACAAAGACAACAUUGUCCUUCGGUCUAUAGAAGAGAUAUCCAAAGGAUUUCUGCGGGUAGCCGAUGAAAAUACAUCGCUCACUUCGAGGUUCGAGCUUGUCGUGAGUAUCUCGUCUUACGAAAGCCUCGCAACCCCAAACCUUGAUGUGUGCCAACGAGGGAGCUUUCCCUGUCCACAUCUCGUGAGGUGUUUUGGCAACCUUCUUAGUAGGGACUCGGUUAAGGAUAUGGGCGGCAGUCUCUAAGGCAUACCCCCAGAAUGAGAUAGGUAGUGAAGCACGACUCAUCAUAGAGCGAACCAUAUCUAACAAGGUUCGAUUACGCCUUUCUGCCACACCAUUCAACUGCGGUGUCCUAG